Ornithodoros turicata is the source of this 184-nucleotide long non-coding RNA. RefSeq lists it as uncharacterized. The transcript is spliced from 3 exons. NCBI's taxonomy places the organism in Eukaryota, Metazoa, Arthropoda, Arachnida, Ixodida, Argasidae. The record is from RefSeq and is a predicted model, not a curated record.
GGCUGCCGGGCAUUCCAGGGCUGGGAGAGCAGCAACUCUCAACUGAUGUAUGUGGAACUCUGGGUGCGCCUAUUGCCCCUGUUGUAGGUGUCGCACAUCCGUUGCUUCACAUCCAGCAGGAGGUAGUCCCGUCCAGCAGAGCUUCAAGUGAACAUAUUUCUCCUGCUGUAGGUGUCACGCAUUC